RNAcentral lists this long non-coding RNA (3430 nucleotides) under Nicotiana tabacum (common tobacco). RNAcentral describes it as "long non-coding RNA (NTAB_LNC007680)". Lineage: Eukaryota; Viridiplantae; Streptophyta; Magnoliopsida; Solanales; Solanaceae. The record is from RNAcentral.
CACAAAAAAUUUUAAGCAAAUAAUAAUAACAUGGUCAAAUUACCUUCCCCAUGACCAAAAACCAUAUCCCAAGAAACUUCCCAAAAAAUACAAAAGAGCACCCAUCUUUCCUGCACCAAAGCAGCAAAAAUUCAGGCAUGCAGAAUGCAGGCAUACAAAAUGAAUAAUGCAUGUGCAAGAAAGAAGAAACAAGAACAAGUGGCUAAUAUAAACUCCAAAUUAUAUAUUUACAUAAAUUAGUACUAUUGAUGUCUCUUUUCCUCUAGCUUUAUUGUUUGGACUCUCCAAAAAUAUUAUCAUGCACUUGUUUGAUUUCCCAAAAGUAGUAUACAUGUUUAGAGAAUCCGUCGUAGACGUGACAACUUUAAAGAGUCUACACACAGGGCAAAGCUAGGUAGGCAAAAGGGUGUUCAGCCUUCAUCAAAAAUUACUGGUAGGCAAAAGGGUGUUCAGCCUUCAUCAAAAAUUACUGGUAGGCAAAAGGGUGUUCAGCCUUCAUUAAAAAUUAUAUUGUGUAUAUAAGAUUAAUUUUAUAUUUUAUGUAUGUAUACAACAUAAACUCUGGCUUGUGUGGCAUCUUUUCAUGGACAAAAGAGGUUCAAACAGUACUAAGAUAGGCAAAUCAAACAUAAGAGAUUAUGUUUGAUCCAAUAUACUAAAUUCUUUUCAUCUUCCACCAUAAAUAAACAAAAGGUGUUAUAGGUGUCUAAUCAUAACUUUUCAACCCUAUCUUUUUGUCCACAUGCAAAAUUACACUUACCUAUUAAACAAACACAAUACAAACCUUCUUGACUUGGUUAAUUAGCUGGUAGCUGUCUCCAAUUAAUAAUUUAAUUGCAUGUUGAUCCCAUAUGUUUAACUUUAAACCAACAGUGUCUGAAUAAUUGAAGAGCUUGACCCUCUAAAAGUAAAGCAAACAAAUACCAAUAAACUAACGUAAAAUUUUAAGCACUAACCUAGAAUCUUACAGCAAAUAAAGGAAGAUUACAACUUUUUCUUUUCUUUACUUUUUAGGAUAACAACUUUAAUAAUGAGAAUUAUUGGAACAUAAUAAGAAAUUACAAAACUCUCCAGAAAAUAUCACUGCUGGCUUGUUCAUUGCUUUGAAUGUAUUCAUUAUCAACUUCUGUAAUUCCAGCUAUGUUAAAACUAGAUCCUGCAAAAUAAUAAAUAAAUAAAUCCAAAUUUUUGUGUUACUUUAAUGUUAAUUAUAAUUCAGUACAGAUGUGUCCGACCUGGCUAAAAAAAUGGACCAAGCAACUUAAAUUAAACAAAAACAAUAGUAUAUAAAAUAUUUAUUAAAAUGUUCUUUAUUCCAUCCAAAGAACAGGCAACAACUGUUGGUCUGAUAUAAAGGAUGUCAGCCUUAACAAGACAAAACAAUAUAGUAUAUGUUCCUUGCUACAUAGUUGUCUUUGCCAUUGUAAGGAAAAAAAAGGACCAUAAUAUUUCUUUUCUUUUAGCAAUUUUAAUUCUUCUGCAAGAUUUUGACUUCGCUUGUUUCUUUCCCUAGGUGAAAAAUCAAAAAAGAAGAGUGUACAUUUGCUUGGUUAAAUUUGCUAGCCUAGUCCAGUCUGGUCUGACAUCCAUGAAUGCACACACUAUUUCUUUUUUCACUUUGGCCGGACUAAUUCAGAUUCAGAUUGGACUAUUAUUUACUUGACUCACCUAAUUCAGAUUCAUAUUGAGUAACCUACUCAGAGGCGGAGCUAGCCCAUCGACUAAGAGUUCGGCCGAACCCAAUUGUUUAUGUCCAAACCAUAUAUUUGUCUUACGAUAAAUGAAUAUGUAUAAAUUACUAUUAUUUUAGAACCCAAUAAUAAUAAUUUAAUUAAAAGGACAAAAACUCUUUUAACUCUUUAAGCUCUAAAUCUUGGCUCCACCUUUGGACCUACUAAUAGUAAGUCCACUAAUGGAGUAAAGUACUCUCCCACUUGAAAGUUUUUCUACUCUCAGGGUUCGAAGACAGUUUUAAUUAAGGGCGGAGAGAUAUCAACCAUCUCACUACACUCUUCGAUCAGGUGGUUGCAUAAACAAUUUCCCUACAUUAUGCUUUACUUAGUCCAUAUAAAUGGCCUCUAAUGUGGGCAUAAAACAUAGUUGGCUAGCAAGAUUCCAAAUGAGAGGGCAAUGCCUUGUGGUCCAAAUAAACAUUCAAUAGUAGCACAUUCUUGAUCACAUAAUUCACAAGCUAUGAGGUGAAAUGGUGGUCAUGCAUUUCCCUUUAUCUUAGCCUAUAAAAGAAAAGAGGUGGAAAAUAAAUAAGCUCAAGAAGAGUACUAAAAAUUAGAUCACAUUAGAAAGUUAGAUACUAUAUAGUAGUAUAUACUAGUAUAUAUAUAGUGCCCAAGCAAGCAAGAAACCAUGAAUUUAAUGUAGGAAUAAGACUAUUGACUAAGAAAUAGGAUUUUGUAUGUAAAACUAUUGCCAAUUAAAUUGAAAGGUAUAGAAAUUGCUUUCCACAACAUAGUGAUUCUAAAUGUCAUGUGUAUAACCCCAUGUAUUCUCUUUUUAUUUAUCUAAGUCCUAUACCCCAUUUUGGAUCUUGCUUUUCAAGAACAAUAAGCCAGAGAUCCUGUGAUGGGUGCGAACAACAACAACAAUAGCAUUUAAGUAUAAUCUCACAAGCGAAAUCUGGUGAGGAUAGUAUAUUUGCAAUUUUACCCUGCCCUUGUGUUGGCAGAGAGGCUAUUUCCGACGAACCCUAAUCUCAAAGCAAGCCUCAAGGCUCAAGGCUUAAAAAAGAUAAUAUUCAGGAUUAGAAUUAACAUGUGCAAGAACUCAAGGCUCCAAUUACAAUUUAAAAAGCGAAUUAAAGCUGUGCUUUAUAUAGAAUAAUUUAUAGCAAUUUAUAGUCAUAAACUCAUACAAUAAGAUCUUAAUCCAAGAAUUGUAUCACAUAAGUACUAAAAACUGAGAAGGAAAUGAAGAUAAAUAUCAAGGACAUCCAAAUUUUGAUCACCAAAAACCAAAUUUGUUGUAAAUCAGUAAAUCCCAAACAUAUAUUGCCACAGAAAAAUUAUCUGUAUAGAUCAAACCCAUCCAGACACACAACACAUAGAAAUAAAAUCAGAGAAAUAUCCCCUGAAAAAGAACCUUAAACAGUAGAUCAUUAUGAACACCUUUUAAUUUCCUGCAAAACAAUAAUAAUCACAAUAAUAACUUGUCAGUAAUAACAGUAAAAAAAAUUCUUUCUAUAUAUAGAAAGUUCACCAAAAAACAAACAUGGAUCUAACCAUGCAUCAAUAUAAAGAAAAUCAAAAUCUGUAACUGAAAAUUCAGGAAUUGUAAUUUCUUGACACUAUCUGUAUCUUCCCACAACUUUAUUGAACCGCAACAAUUUUUUUUUUUAUUUUCACCUCCAAUAAUGAUAAUUGGUUAUAUAUGGUGUGAAUUUUCUAAUAUAUAUGCAGUUCAAGAAAGCUGUGGA